This 193-nucleotide transfer RNA is filed under the name Streptomyces sp. 1222.2. RNAcentral's name for it is "tRNA_Val_CAC". It matches the Rfam family "tRNA". From Rfam's summary of the family: Transfer RNA (tRNA) molecules are approximately 80 nucleotides in length. Their secondary structure includes four short double-helical elements and three loops (D, anti-codon, and T loops). Lineage: Bacteria; Bacillati; Actinomycetota; Actinomycetes; Kitasatosporales; Streptomycetaceae. The record is from RNAcentral.
GCCGGUGUAGCUCAGUUGGUCAGAGCACCGGUUCGCCUGCUUCGAUCUCUGGACACCCAAAGCUUCACGUACCUCCCGGUGCGUUUCGAUCUCGGGGGGCGCGGCAGAUGGUGCGUGCCCGUGCGCAGGCAGCGGAUACCUCGGGGACUGACGAGGAGAGUUCCUCGUGCGGGUUCGAAUCCCGUCAUCGACG